UACGUAGGGACCAAGCGUUGUUCGGAUUUACUGGGCGUAAAGGGCGCGUAGGCGGAAAUUCAAGUCAUCUGUGAAAUCUCCGGGCUUAACUCGGAACGGUCAGAUGAUACUGCUUUGCUAGAGUGCGGAAGGGGCAAUCGGAAUUCUCGGUGUAGCGGUGAAAUGCGUAGAUAUCGAGAGGAACACCUGAGGUGAAGACGGGUUGCUGGGCCGACACUGACGCUGAGUGCGCGAAAGCCAGGGGAGCAAACGGG
RNAcentral lists this ribosomal RNA (254 nucleotides) under uncultured bacterium. RNAcentral's name for it is "partial 16S ribosomal RNA". It matches the Rfam family "Bacterial small subunit ribosomal RNA", at positions 524 to 776 of the family's 1533-position model. The record is from RNAcentral.